RNAcentral lists this ribosomal RNA (438 nucleotides) under uncultured bacterium. RNAcentral describes it as "bacterial SSU rRNA". It matches the Rfam family "Bacterial small subunit ribosomal RNA", at positions 339 to 794 of the family's 1533-position model. The record is from RNAcentral.
GUACGGGAGGCAGCAGUGGGGAAUAUUGCACAAUGGGCGAAAGCCUGAUGCAGCAACGCCGCGUGAGUGAUGAAGGCCUUCGGGUUGUAAAGCUCUGUCUUUGGGGACGAUUAUGACGGUACCCAAGGAGGAAGCCACGGCUAACUACGUGCCAGCAGCCGCGGUAAUACGUAGGUGGCAAGCGUUGUCCGGAUUUACUGGGCGUAAAGGAUGCGUAGGCGGAUAUUUAAGUCAGAUGUGAAAUACCCGAGCUUAACUUGGGUGCUGCAUUUGAAACUGGAUAUCUAGAGUGUGGGAGAGGAAAGUGGAAUUCCUAGUGUAGCGGUGAAAUGCGUAGAGAUUAGGAAGAACACCAGUGGCGAAGGCGACUUUCUGGACCAUAACUGACGCUGAGGCAUGAAAGCGUGGGGAGCAAACAGGCUUAGAUACCCUGGUAGA